Long non-coding RNA from Passer montanus (Eurasian tree sparrow), 1459 nucleotides. RefSeq lists it as uncharacterized. The transcript has 4 exons. The record is from RefSeq and is a predicted model, not a curated record. NCBI's taxonomy places the organism in Eukaryota, Metazoa, Chordata, Aves, Passeriformes, Passeridae.
UCUGUAAAACUGCAGUCUAACAAUUCCACCACUUGUUCUAAUUUAGUGAGGGGUGAGAAUUAACAGAUGGUGUCAUUAUCAAAAGCUGUUCAAGUGUUGAAACAACAUAAAUUCCACAAAUACAGAAAAACAAAUAUAAACUGCUGUAAUUUUUCCAAUAUUGGUUGAAUUAUAAUCACACUUUGCAUUUAUACAGGGCUUUUUAACCCACAGCUUUUGAAGUGCUUCCAGAUUGUACCUAAAGCUGAGCCCAGAUCUGUGGGGGAGGAGAGUAUAACAUUACCUGCUCUGCUGAAGUUGGAGGUGGGGUGCUGAGUGUUAAAGGCUUACACUGGACAUCUGCAGAGGGGCUCUGGCUUCUUCACCUGGCUCUGCUGCUGCUCCAGCUGAAUGGUCCUGGCUGUUACCUCUGCAUAAAAAUACAAGGAAGGGUAGGCAGGUAGGAUGGAGGAUGCCCCCAGUCAGCUUUUUCGCCUGUGAUGUGAGGCACCACUGAAGAUAGAGUCUUCUUCACACACAGAACAUAUCUGGAAAAUGCAUUGCAGUGUUUUGAAAGGCUGGGAGAGAGGUCACAAUUAUAAGUGUGGACAGGCAGUCUGCUGCUUGGGACAGCAUUUAGGAAGAAGAGACCAUUUUUCUGCAUUUUGUAAUACCCUCGGUGUGGCUCCUGCCGCGGUUAUCGCUCCCGAUCCCUGGCUGGGGACACGGAGGCCAGCUGUGCUGUUAGAGAAGUGCCAUCGUGGGAAGCUGGAGCUGCAGCCAGUGUGGCCGGGAUAUCAGCACUGCUUGUGACAUUCUUGGACCCCUCCUCUUUGCUGCUCUCCUAUUUCCCCACUCGCACUUCCCCCAGAUAAUUUAAGCUCCAGAGAUCAGAUGAAAAUUCCUACUCAGCAAUUUAUUUUUCUCCCCUCCCCCCACGCUUUUAAUCCCAGGAGCUUGUUCAGGGAGAAAUAUGUGCUAUCUCAGACAUAUGUGGGUGUGAAAGAGUGCGCUUAGUAAGGCCUUUCUUCAGGUUAAGAAAACAGCAAACUCGUUCUGUGACAUUCUCUCAUCCUUCGGUGACCUGUGCAAGGCACAGGGAGUGUUGUGCAUACACCUGAAGCUAAAACAAAGCUGAAAAACAUCUAAAACGCUGCAGUUGUUGGGUGGGGUUGGAGUGAAUGAGCAGGUGCAUACCAAAGCAAAAUUAUCUUGGGUUGUGUUCCUGUCCUGUUUCAUAAUCAUUAGGCAGGUUUGGGGGCAGAAAACUUCCAAGAAAAAGGGAAAGAAGAGUGGGAAAUGGCAGUUCAGAAGUCAGUGGCUUUCCUGCAAUCAGCCCAGUAGUUGCUCCUAGCUGCCUGACUGCCAGGGUUUGGCAGAGAUUUAGAAGCUGAGUAUCUGUUGACUGUCAGGGCAGUGCUGUCAGUCACCUACGUUCAGGUUAAUGCUUCAGGGAGCUGGCCAAACUCCAGGGGAUAAC